UGAGGAAUAUUGGGCAAUGGACGCAAGUCUGACCCAGCCAUGCCGCGUGCAGGAUGAAGGCCCUAUGGGUUGUAAACUGCUUUUGUACAGGAGGAAACCCCUGAACGAGUUUCAGGGUUGACAGUACUGUGCGAAUAAGCAUCGGCUAACUCCGUGCCAGCAGCCGCGGUAAUACGGAGGAUGCAAGCGUUAUCCGGAUUUAUUGGGUUUGAAGGGUGCGUAGGCGGGGUAAUAAGUCAGAGGUGAAAUCUCCCGGCUUAACCGGGAAACUGUCUUUGAUACUGUUAUCCUUGAGUAUAGUUGAGGUGGGCGGAAUGUGUAAUGUAGCGGUGAAAUGCAUAGAUAUUACACAGAACACCGAUUGCGAAGGCAGCUCACUAAACUAAAACUGACGCUGAGGCACGAAAGCGUGGGUAGCGAACAGGAUUAGAUACCCUGGUAGUCUACGCCGUAAACGAUGAAUACUCGAUGUGUGCGACAUAUUGUACGCGUCUGAGCGAAAGCAUUAAGUAUUCCACCUGGGGAGUACGACCGCAAGGUUG
RNAcentral lists this ribosomal RNA (542 nucleotides) under uncultured bacterium. RNAcentral describes it as "bacterial SSU rRNA". It matches the Rfam family "Bacterial small subunit ribosomal RNA", at positions 355 to 896 of the family's 1533-position model. The record is from RNAcentral.